RNAcentral lists this transfer RNA (61 nucleotides) under Astragalus membranaceus var. membranaceus. RNAcentral's name for it is "tRNA-Ile". Lineage: Eukaryota; Viridiplantae; Streptophyta; Magnoliopsida; Fabales; Fabaceae. The record is from RNAcentral.
UUAAUUAUAAUAUAUUUAUAUAUAUUUAUAAUAAUAAUCUAAUUGAAGUUUAGUAAUUAAA